CCCACACGUAUGUGUGUAGGACCCCAAAGGAUCACCAUUAAAUUUGGUACAGAUCUCUAGAAAAGUUAUCACAUGGGUGUGAGAUUUGACGUUUUUAGAUAUAUGUGCCAAAUUUAAUGGUGAUCUUUUGGGGUCCUACACACAUGGGUGUUGG
This 154-nucleotide microRNA precursor is filed under the name Amborella trichopoda. RNAcentral's name for it is "MIR8565 microRNA precursor family". It matches the Rfam family "MIR8565 microRNA precursor family". The record is from Rfam by way of RNAcentral. Lineage: Eukaryota; Viridiplantae; Streptophyta; Magnoliopsida; Amborellales; Amborellaceae.